This 454-nucleotide ribosomal RNA is filed under the name uncultured Streptococcus sp. RNAcentral's name for it is "bacterial SSU rRNA". It matches the Rfam family "Bacterial small subunit ribosomal RNA", at positions 924 to 1382 of the family's 1533-position model. Lineage: Bacteria; Bacillati; Bacillota; Bacilli; Lactobacillales; Streptococcaceae. The record is from RNAcentral.
CACAAGCGGUGGAGCAUGUGGUUAUUCGAAGCAACGCGAAGAACCUUACCAGGUCUUGACAUCCCGAUGCUAUUUCUAGAGAUAGAAAGUUACUUCGGUACAUCGGUGACAGGUGGUGCAUGGUUGUCGUCAGCUCGUGUCGUGAGAUGUUGGGUUAAGUCCCGCAACGAGCGCAACCCCUAUUGUUAGUUGCCAUCAUUCAGUUGGGCACUCUAGCGAGACUGCCGGUAAUAAACCGGAGGAAGGUGGGAUGACGUCAAAUCAUCAUGCCCCUUAUGACCUGGGCUACACACGUGCUACAAUGGCCGGUACAGACGGAGGCGAAGCCGCGAGGCGGAGCAAAUCCGAAAAAGCCGGUCUCAGUUCGGAUUGCAGGCUGCAAUUCGCCUGCAUGAAGUCGGAAUCGCUAGUAAUCGCAGGUCAGCAUACUGCGGUGAAUACGUUCCCGGGCCUU